UGGAGGGAAAUGGAAUGAGGACUCUCAUCACUAAGCUUCACAACAACGCAAGUUGAUGAGCUCCUGAUGACUGGCACUGCUUGUUCGCUUCCUCUGGCUUCCUGCUACAUGGCAGACCAACUUCCCCCAAGAAAAUACGUGCCUUGUAACCUCACUUUCUGGAUAGCCCUUGUAUUUGCAGAUUUAAUACAUUCUUUCUAGGAAUAUAUGUCUUCUGGUGCAACACCUGCCAGAAGGUGGCCAUAAGAGGCUUCUCUAUGCAUUUGUAGGUCCGUCAACACAAUUGUAUGGCAACUUGUAGCAGACGUUCACCAUGAAAGUCAUAACUUUUUUAAAAAAUUGCCAUAUUUUUGCUUUUUGCAGGGAUCCUGUGCUUUUCACCCAAGAAAACGCUUAUUGUUAUUAACGCAUUUCUUCAAUUCUACGACUGCAUUAUUUGUAAGGCGCUCUCAUGUCACUCCCACCAACAGAAAAACAGAAAAGCUUUAUUGAUAAUAUCAGUCUUAAUUGGUUUAUGAAUCUGCUGUGCACUUUUUCCGCUGAGUGAAUUGAGUCUUUGAACCGUAUUAGAGAUUGAUGAUAGUUAUUAAUAACACCCGCAUUUACUCAAAUCUAAUGCUCACCUUUUGGGGCUCAAUGACCUUGUCAAAAUGAGGCUGCGCAUUAGAUUUGCAUAAUAUUGGCCAUCCUAGUGCUGAGUCAAAGCCAAAAGGAGAAUCUGCUUCAGGAGAAGCGGGACGUCACCUCAAAUUUAAUAGCAGUGGCUCCAUUGCAAUGCUGGGAUUUUGUAGUUUGGUGAGGUACCAGCAUCCUUUGGAAGAGAAAUGCUCAAGACCUUGCAAAACUACAUGUCCCCCCAUGACUCCAUAGCAUUGAAAUAUGGCAAUUAAAGUGCAGUCAUUAUGCAGCAUGCAUGUGGCCGAAGUUUGCCCAUGCCUAGUCCGAAGGUUUUCCUUUCCAUCACUGGAAGUUUUGUUGUUCUAUCACUUUUGUUUUCAAAGAAGGAAUGCUAAUUAAACAUGCAGCAAUUGCAAUGCACACUUCUUCUUUUUUUGCCCAAAUGAUGAAAGGAUGCACUUUUUGUAGAUGUCAUUCAGCAGCAAAUACCUUUUUUCUGAUUCUGGGAUUUUGGAAAUGGAGGUGCGCAUGAGAUCCAGUAGUGCAUGGGGAUCAAGUAAAUAAAGGGUAUUUAAAAGAGCCCUCGCAAUAUAUGCAGCAAUUGCAAUUUGCACUUUUUUCUUUUCUUUUUUUGCCCAAAUGACAAACGAAUUAGUUUUUUGCACAUGUCACUCAGCAGCAAAUACUUUAUUUGGCUUCAGGAUUUUGGAAAUGAGGUGCACAUGUUAUCCAAUGGCAGACAAGACCUGCAAUGCCAAGAUGCACCCCAUAUUUGGAGGCGGGGGGAAAAGAGCAUGUCUUAGAAUGGAAGAAAUGCAGCUUGAUCUUGAAGAAAUGCAGUCAGUUGCUUAACAGUGAAAGUUCAAUGCGCCCCGGGAAGGAAGCCUGCCCUUUUAAUGGGGGGCUUUAUUAAUGCUUGACCCCUCUCUCUGCCAUAUAAAACACAUCCCAAAUAGAGCAAAAGAGGGGCUUUGUCUGCAGGCAGAACAAAGCCACCUCUGUAUAUAGGAAAAGCGGCUCUCCAAAAGGACCUGUUGCACCCAAGGAUGGCCUUACGGUCGGUCCUUCAUGGAGCGGGAUUCGAACCCAGAACCCGAAGCUUUAAGAAGGGAGAAGUCUUUCACAUGGACCAUUACAAGCCUGAAUCACUUGCUUUUAAUGGAUUUGGGUUUACUCAAAGGGACACUCCAAAGAUACGGGAAAUUUCCAUAGAUAUAUAGGUUCAUAUUAAUUUCAGAUCCAAAAAUAAGCAUCUCAAUACUUUCUCCUACAGCAUCCAUUGCAAAACUUUGGAAAAGGUUAAAUUCACAAGUUAUUAUAUCUGUUUUUAUUGAAACCGCUUCCAAAUUCAAAAUCUGAGAGCAAAGUGUAAAAUCGGACCAAGUAAUUAUUUCCACGCUGUGCAUGAAUCAAAAAGAAAAAAAAAUCCAGAUAUUAUGGUGUAUAUAUUGUGACUAUUGUUAUUAUUAUUGCGUGCUUGCCAUACUUUGUAAGUGGAAGCAUUUCCGGCCCAGUUGUGGAUAAAAGGGACCCUUUGGGGUGUUUUUUUUCCUUUGUUUUCUUUUCACGUUGUAGUAAAUUAUUACGAAGCCAGUGACCUUUCAUGGCCCGUUGUUGUACCAAGCUGUGCUUGUUUUUGUUAUGAUGAUGAUGAUAUUUCUCACCCUUGUUCCUUAUUUUUACGGUUGUAUUGCUUUGUAUCCGUAAUGUAUAGAUAGAAGUUGUCCUGUACUGACGAAUGCCUCCUUUGCAGAGCAUUAAUUGCGGUUAAUUAAACCAGGGAACAGACAAAGCGGCAAAUGCCCCUCCAAAAAGCAAAUAACGUAAUUUGGGAAACAGAGAUUUUCUUUCCAAAUGUCAAACAAUACAGGUGGGCCCUGAAGCCUGUUUGGAAAGGAAAUGGCUGCAAAUAAAUGGGAAUCUUUGCCAAAAAAAA
Non-coding RNA from Anolis sagrei ordinatus, 2554 nucleotides. The record is from RefSeq and is a predicted model, not a curated record. Lineage: Eukaryota; Metazoa; Chordata; Lepidosauria; Squamata; Anolidae.